UUAAAAUUUGAUGAUUACUGAUAGAAUAAUCAAGGGGAAAAGGGUUUUUAUUUUUUGAGAGAGAAAGUGUUCAAAAAAUGGGAGGAAGAUGAUUGCGACAAAUGGUGGUCAUAAUUUAACCGACGCAGCAAAAUUCUUGGACGGGAAAAUUCACUGGGAAUAAUCAUUUUGGAGGUCGGGUUAAUUGGAUUUGUCGAGACGGAAAGUGUUUUUGGCAGGGGAAGGAAGAAGAAUUCGACAGGUACAGUUUCAAGAAAAAUAGUGGGUAGACAAAAAGCAGAACCUGAACAACGAUAUUAGAUUUGAGGAUAAGUUUUACAUCUGGAGUGGUCUCAUUUUCAGGAUUCAUCCGACGGUUUAGACCCCAUCAUCUAUCAAUCAACGAUGGCUAUCCCAUCAGAAAUUAGUAAAACCCAGCAGCCCGUUUCCCCGUUGAGCUCUGGAGGGCGUGAAGGUCCGUCUGAGUACUCAUUUAUGUGUUUGCCUCUGCCCUAUCCUGGCGCAUGGGCUGCCCAGAGGAGAGAUGGCUUUUGGAAGGGCAUCAAGUGUAUCAUACUGUUGAAUAUGCUCUUCCACUUAUCAAAAUUUCGUGAAAAUUGUAAGUCAUUCCCUCUCCUAUCUCUUACUUCUUCUCCAUUUGAAGAUUAGGUGAGGUUUGAUCUUUAUAUUUGAAAAAGUUAGAUACAAAAACCGUUCUUAUCGUAUGCUAAAAUCUUAAAAUUAAAAAAAAAAAAUCAUGUGGACGAAAUCAAAGUUUUAAAACCAUGAGAACUCAAUUAUAAUUAUCUUUAGAUUAUAAGAAUGUUAUAAAUUUGUAAUUUAAAGGAUAGGAUUGAUUCGAUAAUAACAUUCAUGGAACUCUACUACUAAGAAGAUAUAACUUAGACUCGGUUAAUAAAAAUAUUUAUUGACGUU
This is a long non-coding RNA of Cucurbita moschata (crookneck pumpkin), 915 nucleotides long. RefSeq lists it as uncharacterized. The record is from RefSeq and is a predicted model, not a curated record. The transcript has 4 exons. NCBI's taxonomy places the organism in Eukaryota, Viridiplantae, Streptophyta, Magnoliopsida, Cucurbitales, Cucurbitaceae.